This 1183-nucleotide long non-coding RNA is filed under the name Piliocolobus tephrosceles (Ugandan red Colobus). Its description in RNAcentral is "lncRNA (ENSPTEG00000001267.1)". Lineage: Eukaryota; Metazoa; Chordata; Mammalia; Primates; Cercopithecidae. The record is from RNAcentral.
AAAGAAUUACUUGAAAUAAAUUUUAGUAAUUAUGAAAAUGAUCCGAGAAGCUUAGAAAAUUUGGUAAAAAAGAGAGUAACUAAUAAAGUCACUGAUGGUCAACCAGUAGGUAAGGAAGGCGUAUCGGUAGGUGAGGCAAACGUAUCAGAUGUGGAAGAACAAGGGGAGGAAAAAACAAAACAUUUAGAGUACAGCUAUGACUAUGAUCGUAUUUUUAAAAAUAAAAAAUUUAUGAAAGAACAGGUUGAUUAUAAAGAGAAACUUACAUUAAAGGAUGACAGUACAAAAAUAAUUGAACACACAGGUAUACAUACACUAAAUAAUUUUUUAAAUGAUUAUAAAAACGAUUUUGAUUUAGCUUACUAUAAAGGGCGGAGGGAUCAAAAUUUUGGAAGAGAAGAUAAAACAGAUAAACAUAUUAGUAAUGAAAAAGAAAAAAAUAGUAUGCACGAUAAUACGCAUGACAUGGUUAAUAAUAAAGUAUAUGAUGAAAAAAUGUAUCAUGACAAAAUAAAUAAAAAUAAUGAAACGGAUAGACACCACCAGGAGAGUGGCCAGGAGGGUGGCCAGGAGAGUGACCAGGAGAGUGACCAGGAGAGUGACCAGGAGAGUGAUCAGCUAGAAUCUAUCAAUUUUUUUAAAAAGAUAAAACAAGAAUUUCAUAUCGAAAGAAAUGAUUAUAUAAAUAAUUCAGUGAAACAGAUAGAAGAUGAGUACAUGAAUAAAAAUUAUGAUAACAAAAAAAGUACCGAGGAAAGUAGUAUGAAGUACGAAGAUAAAAAUGAUGCUAAUAGAGAUUCAAACAAAAGAAAAGAGUUAGAAACUGAUGAAAAAAAGUUUACUAAUUAUAUAACUAAUAAAAUAAAAAAUGAUGACAAUAAUAAUAUGAUGGUAAAUAAAUUAAUAAAAACGAAUUUUAUAAAAAUGUUUAGUUUUGAUAAUGAAAUAAAAACAAUAAAUAAUAAAAUAAAAAAAAGUACAAAUUUAAAUGAAAUUUUAGAAAUAUUUAAAGAUCAUAAAAGAAUAAACAUAAUUAAUAUUAUGUAUUGUUUUAUAUAUAUGAACAGAUUAAAAAAAUUAAAUAUGAAUGAUUAUAUAUAUGAUAGAAGGUUUAUAUAUAUAACAGACUCAUUGGAAUAUAUAUUAAAAUAUUAUCUUUAUGCUUUUAACAAUCAGAUGAUUA